GUUCUUUCGCUUGGGAACAGGGAUAUGUAUUAAUAGUACAUAGACUUGAGGGUACCAGGUAAAGAAGCACCGGCUAACUCCGUGCCAGCAGCUGCGGUAAUACGGAGGGUGCAAGCAUUAAUCGGAUUUACUGGGCGUAAAGGGUGCGUAGGCGGGAUAGCAAGUCACGUGUGAAAUUCCAGAGCUCAACUCUGGAACUGGAUGUGAAACUGCUAACCUAGAGGUAAAGUGGAGAAAACGGAAUUUCCCAUGUAGCGGUGAAAUGCGUAGAUAUGGGAAGGAACACCGGCGGCGAAAGCGGUUUUCUAACUUUAACCUGACGCUGAGGCACGAAAGCGAGGGGAGCAAACAGGAUUAGAUACCCUGGUAGUCCUCGCCGUAAACGAUGCAUACUUGAUGUGGUCGGGCUCAACCCCGAUCGUGUCGGAGCUAACGCGAUAAGUAUGCCGCCUGGGGAGUACGCCCGCAAGGGUUAAACUCAAAAGAAUUGACGGGGGCCCGCACAAGUAGUGGAGCAUGUGGUUUAAUUCGAUGCAACGCGAAGAACCUUACCCAGGCUUGACAUGCAGAUUAAGUUAUUAGAAAUACUGACGCCCGCAAGGGAAUCUGUGCAGGUGCUGCAUGGCUGUCGUCAGCUCGUGCCGUGAGGUGUUGGGUUAAGUCCCGCAACGAGCGCAACCCUUAUCGUUAGUUGCCAUCAGUUCGGCUGGGGACUCUAGCGAGACUGCCUAGGUUAACUAGGAGGAAGGUGAGGAUGACGUCAAGUCAGCAUGGCCCUUAUGCCUGGGGCUACACACGUGCUACAAUGGUAGGUACAAAGGGCAGCGAAGCCGCGAGGUGGAGCAAAUCCCAUAAAGC
This 858-nucleotide ribosomal RNA is filed under the name uncultured bacterium. RNAcentral's name for it is "bacterial SSU rRNA". It matches the Rfam family "Bacterial small subunit ribosomal RNA", at positions 430 to 1282 of the family's 1533-position model. The record is from RNAcentral.